RNAcentral lists this ribosomal RNA (484 nucleotides) under uncultured bacterium. Its description in RNAcentral is "partial 16S ribosomal RNA". It matches the Rfam family "Bacterial small subunit ribosomal RNA", at positions 30 to 507 of the family's 1533-position model. The record is from RNAcentral.
AUUGAACGCUGGCGGCAGGCCUAACACAUGCGAGUCGAGCGGAUGAAGGGAGCUUGCUCCUGGAUUCAGCGGCGGACGGGUGAGUAAUGCCUAGGAAUCUGCCUGGUAGUGGGGGAUAACGUCCGGAAACGGGCGCUAAUACCGCAUACGUCCUGAGGGAGAAAGUGGGGGAUCUUCGGACCUCACGCUAUCAGAUGAGCCUAGGUCGGAUUAGCUAGUUGGUGGGGUAAAGGCCUACCAAGGCGACGAUCCGUAACUGGUCUGAGAGGAUGAUCAGUCACGCUGGAACUGAGACACGGUCCAGACUCCUACGGGAGGCAGCAGUGGGGAAUAUUGGACAAUGGGCGAAAGCCUGAUCCAGCCAUGCCGCGUGUGUGAAGAAGGUCUUCGGAUUGUAAAGCACUUUAAGUUGGGAGGAAGGGCAGUAAGUUAAUACCUUGCUGUUUUGACGUUACCAACAGAAUAAGCACCGGCUAACUUCGUG